CGCUCAGCGGACAUCAUGGGCUGUGUUCCAAUCCUAGUGAGGCGCGCUAUGUAGACAGCGCGCUAGAGCGUCACGUGAUCCUGACGCUGACUCCACACGCUGUCUAUGUAGGCGGCGCCAUAGAGUUAGAGACGCGGCCAGUGUGACACACACACACACACACACACACUUUCUCUGUCUCUCUCUCACACACACACACACACACACACACACUACUGAGUGAAAGUUGGAUAUCCCGCUGGCCGUGUCGAAUCGUAUCGCUUCCCGCGAAAAGCCCGUUUAAAUCCGCGCUCGAGCUAAUUUGUCGUUAUUUGGUCGUCCUCGGACUCCGGGACCGUUGGCGGAUUUGAGGCGGAAGCUCCACACAGACAUGCCCAGACACAAUAUGGAAACGCAGAAGAGUCAAUGGGACCCGGUCCGGAGAUCGCCGUGGAUCGUGAGAGUGGAGCAGAGCCCCGCCUCCUCGGGGGCGGAGUCAGACACCGAGGGCAGCAGCACAGAGAGCGAACAGCAUCGAGUCAAACAGGGAGGCGGAGUCUCGCUGACAUCACCGUCAAUGCUGCAGCAGCGAAUCACGGAGCUCGACCAGCAGAGGGAGGAGCUAAAGAUUGAGGUGAGUUUCCUUAAGGAAAAAUAUGACGCUGCCGACAUCAUUAAACACUAACUGUGACUAUAUUAACAUGCAAUAUUGUUGACGAAAACAGACGAG
Molecule: long non-coding RNA, 709 nt
Filed under: Sinocyclocheilus grahami
Lineage: Eukaryota; Metazoa; Chordata; Actinopteri; Cypriniformes; Cyprinidae
Description: lncRNA (ENSSGRG00000031512.1)
Source: RNAcentral